This 253-nucleotide ribosomal RNA is filed under the name uncultured bacterium. RNAcentral describes it as "partial 16S ribosomal RNA". It matches the Rfam family "Bacterial small subunit ribosomal RNA", at positions 524 to 776 of the family's 1533-position model. The record is from RNAcentral.
UACGGAGGGGACUAGAGUUGUUCGGAAUUACUGGGCGUAAAGCGCACGUAGGCGUAUUUGUAAGUCAGGGGUGAAAUCACGGGGCUCAACCUCGGAACUGCCUUUGAUACUGCGAAUCUCGAGUCCGGAAGAGGUGAGUGGAAUUCCUAGUGUAGAGGUGAAAUUCGUAGAUAUUAGGAAGAACACCAGUGGCGAAGGCGGCUUACUGGUCCGGUACUGACGCUGAGGUGCGAAAGCGUGGGGAGCAAACAGG